RNAcentral lists this ribosomal RNA (253 nucleotides) under uncultured bacterium. RNAcentral describes it as "partial 16S ribosomal RNA". It matches the Rfam family "Bacterial small subunit ribosomal RNA", at positions 524 to 776 of the family's 1533-position model. The record is from RNAcentral.
UACAGAGGAUGCAAGCGUUAUCCGGAAUGAUUGGGCGUAAAGCGUCUGUAGGUGGCUUUUUAAGUCCGCCGUCAAAUCCCAGGGCUCAACUCUGGACAGGCGGUGGAAACUACCAAGCUGGAGUACGGUAGGGGCAGAGGGAAUUUCCGGUGUAGCGGUGAAAUGCGUAGAUAUCGGAAGGAACACCUGUGGCGAAAGCGGCUCACUGGACCAUUACUGACGCUGAGGCACGAAAGCUAGGGGAGCAAACAGG